RNAcentral lists this transfer RNA (97 nucleotides) under Mycobacterium intracellulare subsp. chimaera. Its description in RNAcentral is "tRNA-Ile". Lineage: Bacteria; Bacillati; Actinomycetota; Actinomycetes; Mycobacteriales; Mycobacteriaceae. The record is from RNAcentral.
CUCGGCGCUGGCCGAACUGGCGGGGCCCCUCGGACUAUGACCGAGGGAGUUUCGCUCAAGCCCGACCUGGGCCAGUUCGGCGUGUGGCUGCCGACGC